AGCUCGUGUCGUGAGUAGUUAGUUCGGGUUAAGUACCCGCAACCGAGACCGUCAACCCCUUAAUUCUAUUACGUUGCUACGUCUAAGGGCACUCUAAUGAGACUGCCGGUGACAAACCGGAGGAAGGUGGGGAUGACGUCAAGUCCUCAUGGCCCUUAUGGGUAGGGCUUCACACGUCAUACAAUGGUCGGUACAGAGGGUUGCCAAGCCGCGAGGCGGAGCCAAUCCCACAAAGCCGAUCGUAGUCCGGAUUGUUCUCUGCAACUCGAGAGCAUGAAGUCGGAAUCGCUAGUAAUCGCAGGUCAGCAUACUGCGGUGAAUACGUUCCCGGGUCUU
This 336-nucleotide ribosomal RNA is filed under the name uncultured Thiobacillus sp. RNAcentral describes it as "bacterial SSU rRNA". It matches the Rfam family "Bacterial small subunit ribosomal RNA", at positions 1057 to 1382 of the family's 1533-position model. Lineage: Bacteria; Pseudomonadati; Pseudomonadota; Betaproteobacteria; Nitrosomonadales; Thiobacillaceae. The record is from RNAcentral.